CCUACGGGUGGCAGGAGUGAGGAAUAUUGGUCAAUGGGCGCGAGCCUGAACCAGCCAAGUAGCGUGAAGGAUGACUGCCCUACGGGUUGUAAACUUCUUUUAUAUGGGAAUAAAAUGUUCCACGUGUGGGAUUUUGUAUGUACCAUAUGAAUAAGGAUCGGCUAACGCCGUGCCAGCAGCCGCGGUAAUACGGAGGAUCCGAGCGUUAUCCGGAUUUAUUGGGUUUAAAGGGAGCGUAGGUGGAUUGUUAAGUCAGUUGUGAAAGUUUGCGGCUCAACCGUAAAAUUGCAGUUGAAACUGGCAGUCUUGUGUACAGUACAGGUGGUCGGAUUUCGUUGUGUCGCGG
This 346-nucleotide ribosomal RNA is filed under the name uncultured bacterium. RNAcentral describes it as "partial 16S ribosomal RNA". It matches the Rfam family "Bacterial small subunit ribosomal RNA", at positions 338 to 681 of the family's 1533-position model. The record is from RNAcentral.